AGCUUAUUGUGAUGUUGAUAGCCCUUGCAAGGGUGUUCAAGUAAGUUAAAAAACCCUUCUAUCAUUUUUAUAUUUUUAUAUGUCGUUUAAGAUUUUGACACAUUUUUAAUAGCAUUAAUCAUGAAGUGAAUUUGACUAAAUUACCCUUACUUUUUCCAUAAAUGAGUGAUAAAUGAUUGUACGUCUUCUUCGAACAUUAAUUGGGAUAAAAAACUAGUUUUCUAAAACACAUACACAAAUUGUGAGCUUUUGCAUUUCAAACAGUUCAUUGUUUUCUUUUAUUUUUCUAAUUGGUGAAGUAGUUCUUAGUUUAAGAAUAUAUACAGUGCCUAAUGCAGCAUUAUGUUAAUUAAUUUCAGGUGAUUAAGAUGUCCAAGGAGGAGGAGGAGGAAAAGUAAAAAUAAAGUUUUAAUGUUUAAUUCCAGAUCAUGUAUUAGUAGAUGAUUUGCUAUUAAUUAUCCUUUAUGUUGAAAGUCUCUAUGUAAUGUUUUAAGUCUUCCUUGGGUUUCAGCAAUAAUUUGGCAUAUCUGUCAAAAAUCCUAAUUAGUACUAAUGAUAAAAAUAUU
RNAcentral lists this long non-coding RNA (566 nucleotides) under Nicotiana tabacum (common tobacco). RNAcentral describes it as "long non-coding RNA (NTAB_LNC006048)". Lineage: Eukaryota; Viridiplantae; Streptophyta; Magnoliopsida; Solanales; Solanaceae. The record is from RNAcentral.